This 104-nucleotide transfer RNA is filed under the name Parabacteroides sp. PFB2-10. RNAcentral's name for it is "tRNA-Thr". It matches the Rfam family "tRNA". From Rfam's summary of the family: Transfer RNA (tRNA) molecules are approximately 80 nucleotides in length. Lineage: Bacteria; Pseudomonadati; Bacteroidota; Bacteroidia; Bacteroidales; Tannerellaceae. The record is from RNAcentral.
CCGAAAUAGCUCAGUUGGUUGCGACGAAUGCGAAGCAUUUGUUGCCGAAGAAGAGCAAUUCAUUCGUAAUGAAUAGGUCGCCGGUUCGAGUCCGGCUUUCGGCU